GGGCCCGCACAAGCAGCGGAGCAUGUGGUUUAAUUCGAAGCAACGCGAAGAACCUUACCAGGGCUUGACAUCCCUCUGGCCGGUACAGAGAUGUACCUUUUCUUCGGAACAGAGGAGACAGGUGGUGCAUGGUUGUCGUCAGCUCGUGUCGUGAGAUGUUGGGUUAAGUCCCGCAACGAGCGCAACCCCUAUCUUUAGUUGCCAUCAGGUAGAGCUGGGCACUCUAGAGAGACCGCCGGGGAUAACUCGGAGGAAGGUGGGGAUGACGUCAAAUCAUCAUGCCCCUUAUGUCCUGGGCUACACACGUGCUACAAUGGCCUGAAACAGAGAGAAGCGAAGCCGUAAGGUGGAGCAAACCUCAGAAACCAGGUCCCAGUUCGGAUUGUGGGCUGCAACCCGCCCACAUGAAGUCGGAGUUGCUAGUAAUCGCGAAUCAGCAUGUCGCGGUGAAUGCGUUCCCGGGCCUU
This 467-nucleotide ribosomal RNA is filed under the name uncultured bacterium. Its description in RNAcentral is "bacterial SSU rRNA". It matches the Rfam family "Bacterial small subunit ribosomal RNA", at positions 917 to 1382 of the family's 1533-position model. The record is from RNAcentral.